AGCCGCGGUAAUACGUAGGUGGCAAGCGUUGUCCGGAAUUAUUGGGCGUAAAGGGCGUGUAGGCGGCCAUUUAAGUCAGCUGUGAAACCUCUGGGCUCAACCCAGAGCUUGCAGUUGAAACUGGGUGGCUUGAGUGCAGGAGAGGACAGUGGAAUUCCUAGUGUAGCGGUGAAAUGCGUAGAUAUUAGGAGGAACACCAGUGGCGAAGGCGGCUGUCUGGACUGUAACUGACGCUGAGGCGCGAAAGCGUGGGUAGCAAACAGGAUUAGAUACCCUGGUAGUCCACGCCGUAAACGAUGGGUACUAGGUGUAGGAGGUCUCGACCCCUUCUGUGCCGGAGUUAACACAAUAAGUACCCCGCCUGGGGACUACGGCCGCAAGGCUAAAACUCAAAGGAAUUGACGGGGGCCCGCACAAGCGGUGGAGCAUGUGGUUUAAUUCGACGCAACGCGAAGAACCUUACCAGGUCUUGACAUCCUCUGACAACCCAAGAGACUGGGCUUUCCGCCUUCGGGUGGACAGAGAGACAGGUGGUGCAUGGCC
Molecule: ribosomal RNA, 543 nt
Filed under: uncultured archaeon
Lineage: Archaea
Description: bacterial SSU rRNA
Rfam family: Bacterial small subunit ribosomal RNA
Source: RNAcentral